Molecule: ribosomal RNA, 252 nt
Filed under: uncultured bacterium
Lineage: Bacteria
Description: partial 16S ribosomal RNA
Rfam family: Bacterial small subunit ribosomal RNA
Source: RNAcentral
CGAGACUUCGGUCUAGCGGCGAACGGGUGAGUAACACGUGGGCAACCUGCCCCUAGCUCUGGGAUAACUCCGGGAAACCGGGGCUAAUACCGGAUACGACCUCGAACGGCAUCUUUCGAGGUGGAAAGUUUUUCGGCUAGGGAUGGGCCCGCGGCCUAUCAGCUUGUUGGUGGGGUCACGGCCCACCAAGGCGACGACGGGUAGCCGGCCUGAGAGGGCGACCGGCCACACUGGGACUGAGACACGGCCCAG